Cinara cedri is the source of this 321-nucleotide non-coding RNA. The record is from the annotation of a GenBank genome assembly. NCBI's taxonomy places the organism in Eukaryota, Metazoa, Arthropoda, Insecta, Hemiptera, Aphididae.
GCGGCCGUUCUAUUAAAUCUGUUUUGGAAAUACGCGAGAUUUCACCCGUGCCUGUGAACGCCGCAGUCAUCGUCUCGUAUAUAAAUCGACCGUGAAAACGAGCGGCAGAAGUAUAUAUGCUAAACGCCCCCCCUCCCCUUUUCUCCCCGAAAACCACUAGGGAAACGAGGAUUUGAUAAAUUAUAGGAGUUCCGCGGUGCGGUAAAAAGCGAUGUGGCAAAUUCCGCGCAAUUGUUAGCGUACUAAUAUUAUUAAUUGGAUGUUUAACGUUAAUGCCGUGACUCUUUGCAACGACAAUAACACGUUCCCAUAUCUGAUGAC